Molecule: long non-coding RNA, 4782 nt
Organism: Mus musculus (house mouse)
Lineage: Eukaryota; Metazoa; Chordata; Mammalia; Rodentia; Muridae
Product: predicted gene, 38948
Exons: 3
Source: RefSeq, a predicted model, not a curated record
UGGCAGCAGCAGAGGAAGCAGUGACAGGGACGUUGGGGGUGGCGGGGGCACCACAAGCUGCUGAGCAGGAUGCAAGAGGAGCGUAGCACAGGGAGGUGCCUGCAUGACAUUACACAGACGCCACUCAGGACACGUGGCUGCUGGCCAGUGUGGGAGGCUUCAUGACCCAGGAGCAAGACAAAGGGCAAGAGGAAUGGCCAGCCAUGGGAAAUGGGCCUGGGCCACAGUCUGACUCCUUGAAACUGUCAUCUUCAAGUCAUGACCUCAACAGGCACCAUGUAACCAGUGAAUGCCAGCUGGGCACCCAAGACUGGGCCAGCAUCUGGACAGUGACCCACAGCAUGGACCAGGCCACCAGCCCUGGCUAAUGGGAUGUCUCACAGCAUGGCCUGCUCUCACCUACUUCACCGCUUCGGUUGUCCUGGAACUUACUCUACAGACCAGAAUGGCCUUGAACUCAGAAGUCCACCUGCCUCUGCCCCCUGAGUGCUGGAGUUAAAGGUGUACACCAUCACUGCCUGGCUUAAUUUCCCCCCAAAGAAUAAAGGGACAUCUGGAGAGAUGUCUCGGCAGCUGCGAGUGCUUGCUACUCCUCCACGGGACUCAAGCUCGGUUCAGAACCCAAACCCGGCAGUUCACAACUUGUAAGUGUAGCUCCCAUCUCUAAUAUCCUUAGGCAAACCCACUCAAGAGCACAAACCCACACUGACGUCAGUAAAAGCAGCAGGAUUAUUUAUAAAAGGAGAAAAGAGCCUAAGAAGGGAACUCGGGGGAAGAGUGUGUGCCUAGAAUGUGCAUGCCCUGGGUUCUGUGCCCAGCACUAGGGAGAAAUGGAGAAGAAAACAGGGUUAGAGCUAAUGAAGAGGAAAUGCAAGGCUGACCUGGGCUAUGGAGUGAGUUGACAGUUAGCCUAGGCAAAUUUGAGAUACUGCCUCAAAAUAAAUAAAAAGGCUGCAGAGAUGGCUCAGCAGUUAAGAGCACUGGGUGCUCUUCCAGAGGUCCCAGCUUCAGGUCUCAGCAUCCACAUGGAGGCUCACAACCCUUUAUUCCAGGGGAAUGGACUGCAUCUUCCCACUGCACUGGGCUCCAGGUACCAGGCUAUGCAGGUGGUGCAUAGAGAUAAGCAUGUGGGUAAAUACCUAUACAUGUAACAUAAAGAAAUCUUGAAAGAAUGAAACGAACAAAGAAAGGAAGGAAGACAGACAGACAACCCCACUCUUGCUCACAGGAAUAUCCACUGUGGCCUUAUUUACAAAUAGAAAAACCACAGUAUAACUCAGUGUAAGAGAGCAAAUUUGUGUUCGGGUGCCCAAGAAAAGUCCAGUUCUCUCCAUUACCCUAAAUGCCUUUCCAGUGAAUGACCACACGAGGGCAUGAAAGAGCUCCAUAAAACAAGACUUUGGCAGAGCAAGUGUUUAAACUAGUUUCUGAAUGUUGGGUAGAUAGAUGGUGUAGCUUUCUGUAAGUUCAAAUCUUGGGAUCUACACGGCAGGAAAAGAGACUCUAACUUUUGUAGGUGCUCAGGCUCUCUGAUUAUGAACACACAAAAUUAAUUUAAGAACAAAAGCGAAUCAGGUAGUAGUCCUGUGUACACACUAAAUUUGCUAGCUUUGCUAACAGGACAAUGUGGAUUUUUUGUUUGCUUGUUUUUGAGACGAGUCUCACUGUAUAACUAGCCCCUCUCAGUUCUAGUAAUCCCUUGCCUGAGCCUCUGAAGGGCUUCAAUUCUAGAUGUACAACACUACAGCUGGCUGAUACAAUAGUUAAAGUAAGAGAAAACUUCCCCCAGGGCUAUAAUGCUGCACUAAAAUCUUAGGAUUAGAUUUUAAAAUAUUACGGGGCAGGAGGUAACAUGUGCAACCUCAUCUCAAAGGAUCCAAGCAGGAAAAAAACAGAGGCAGGCGGAUCAACAAAUCCAGGGCCCUGGCCUACAGAUCAAGUUCCCGAACAGCCAGUGCUACAUACUCCUGUAUGGAGUGGAGUGGGGAGAAGAAAGAUAGACAGUGGCUGGCAUGGUGGCUCAGUAUUUAAGAGCACUGGCUGUUCUUCCAGGGGACUAAGGUUUGAUUCUUAGUACCCACACAAUAGCUCACACUUGUCUCUAGUCCCAGGGAAUCUGACACUCUCUUCUGGCCUCUGUGGUCACCAGGGAUACAAGUGGUGGACAUACAUACAUACAUGCAGGCAAACAACCAUACACAUAAAAAAUAAAAAUAAGUCUUGUAGAAAAUUUUCACCACUAGUUUCUAAAACACCCCCACUCUUGCCACCUACCUAUAUUUAAUCCCACCCCAGGAUUAGUUUCUGUGACCAGGAACUCCCCAGAAAUGAUCGUAGUCACUUCUGAGACUAUGCCACAAGCAGGCUUCAAUUCCCACCCAGAGCUGGUUCUCGCUACUCAUGUGUUGUGUGGAAGCCAACCACGGCUUGCUGUGACCCGUCCCUUCAGACGCCCACACAGGCUGAGCUGGGAGACAGGUUCACCAGCCUCAACAAGCCAUUACAUGAUUGCAGCCCUGCCUGACACCUUUCUUAUUUCUUGAUUUGAGACAAGAAUCUCAUAUAGCCCAGGCUGGCCUGGAACUCACUAUAUAGAUCAGGCUGGUCUUGAACUCAGAACUCUGCUUGCCUCUGCCUUCUAGGUGCUGGGAUUCAAGGCUUGAGCCAUGACUGCAAAGUCUCAUGUCCUGCAGGCUAAACUGGAACUCACUCUGAAGUCCAGGAUGACCUUGAACCCCGAGUCUUCCUGCCUUUGACUCCCAAGGGGACAGGCAGGCUUGCAGGUAUGCACCACUAAAUCAGGUAUGCCUGGCUCCUUUUGGUUAAGAGUUGUCUGUGUUGGUCAGGCCUGGUGUAAGAACACAGCAUACAAAAAACUAGCAAGAAAGCUGAGCGGUGGUGGUGAACUCCCAGUUCUCAGAAGGCAGAGGCAGGUGGGUCUGUCUGAGGCCAGCCCGGUCUAAGUUCCAGAAUAAGUUCCAGGACAUCGAGGGCUACACAGAUGGCUCUGUCUCAUGGGAGGAAAAGGAAAAGAAAAGAGAAGAAAGAACCCCACAGAUAGGUGAGUUUGUGCACAUGUCCUAACUGUAAAGUAGCUGCUAUUUAUCAUCCUCACAUAAGUGGUAAGGAAACUGAUGCAAAGAGAAAAAUAAGCAGGUUGUACAGGGGCCAGAGGACGUGCUGGCAGAUGACAGAGCGCUCCUCCCAACACUCCAUAAUUCCUUUGGACCACGGCUUGUCAACUAAAUGCAAUGCCAGCUAGGGACAUUUCUGGGCUGUGGCCACCAUUUGCAAAGUACAGAAGGACAGAGCUCGGUGUUUAAGAGCAUUGCUGCUUGUCUGGAGAAUCCAGGCUCUGUUCCUAGCACCCACCAUCGGGUGGGUCACAACUGUAACACCAGCUCCAGGGAUCCAGUCCUCAGACCCGAGUGCGCAUACCCACAUGGUAUACCCGCAUGCACACCUACAGCAGACACAAGCAAACUCCUAAUAUGUGUAGAGUACACAUAAGCUCACCGGUUCAACCUCUUCCCCACCCUCAAUCUAGACAGAAGAAACAUGUUCAAGUUUAUAUGACAGGCAAUCUAUAUGUACAAUCAUGGCUGCCCAAGGGCCAAGCCUACACUGACGUUGCCAUCCAUACCCUUGCCAAUAUAUGCUCUGAAGGCUCACUUUAGUGUCUACAAAUCAACAAGAGAUGGGCUAGGAACCCACACUGCAAAGUGACAAAGGAUAGAAACAGUUUCAUAGAACAAGUAGUUCUUAAAUAUAUAAAAAUUUGCUUCACUUUACUGACAAUAAGAAGAAAUACAACUUAAAAAUCAAUGCAAGGCACAAUUUUUACAAUAAGUCACACUGGUUACUUCAAUACACUAGAGAGGCUGGGAGUGGACAGGAGCAAGCUACGCUGCUGACAAAGCUACACCAAGCAGUCCACAGAUGGCAGCUUGGAGACAGCAUUACAAUGUAAAGCCAUACAUCUUUUAAAGUCCCAGAAAAUUCAGUUUAAAGAACUUAUUCUAAGUUAUAUGUGGUAGAAUAGACUUGUAAGCCCAGCAACUUGGAACAGUGAGGCAGAAGGACCACAAAUUAAAGGCCUACCUGGUCAAUUUAGCAAGUUAACUCUGUCUCAAUUGGAAAUGUUCAAAAGUUUGUGUGAUAGAUCUCAGUAGUAGCUUGCCUAGAGCCCACCAGGGACUUAAGGCGUGGCUCAGUGGUAGAGCCCCUGCCUAGAAUCCCCCAGUGAGGGGCUAGGGGCGUGGCUCUGACAGAAUGCCUACUUACAUUGCACAAAACUCUCAGUUCAAACCUCAGAUCACAAAAUACUUUCUGCUGCAAAAUGCCACACAAAGCUGUUAUCCACAGCCUUGUUCAUAACAAAGAAAAACGAGGAGUGACUUUAGAAGCCCACCGACUUGCUAAAAAAUAGCGUACCUACACAAUGGUUUACUACCCAGUCAUGCCAAAGAAUAAAAAGCAGCCACUGAGGUCAAGUUUAAACAAUAGACACAAGGUGUGAGCCUAGUCAAAGCAUUUUAUAGAACAGAGCAUUCAUGUGUGCUCAUGCUCACGCCCACAUUGAAAAGGAAAUUCAAGAGCCUUGUUCAGGAGGAGCUGAGGAUUUCAGAAUGGUUCUCCUGGCUGUUGCAGAGACUGGGUCUCAUGUAGCCCAUGCUGGCUUCAAACUCCCUAUAUAGCCCAGGAUGACCCUGAUAGUAUGAUCUUAUUCCCACCACCACCACUACCACCACCCUGAGCCCUGAGUGCUGGUUACAGACAAGU